CGGACGGGUGAGUAACACGUGGGUAACCUGCCCAUCAGAAGGGGAUAACACUUGGAAACAGGUGCUAAUACCGUAUAACAAUCGAAACCGCAUGGUUUCGGUUUGAAAGGCGCUUUUGCGUCACUGAUGGAUGGACCCGCGGUGCAUUAGCUAGUUGGUGAGGUAACGGCUCACCAAGGCAACGAUGCAUAGCCGACCUGAGAGGGUGAUCGGCCACAUUGGGACUGAGACACGGCCCAAACUCCUACGGGAGGCAGCAUG
RNAcentral lists this ribosomal RNA (261 nucleotides) under uncultured bacterium. RNAcentral's name for it is "partial 16S ribosomal RNA". It matches the Rfam family "Bacterial small subunit ribosomal RNA", at positions 99 to 353 of the family's 1533-position model. The record is from RNAcentral.